Molecule: ribosomal RNA, 301 nt
Filed under: uncultured bacterium
Lineage: Bacteria
Description: partial 16S ribosomal RNA
Rfam family: Bacterial small subunit ribosomal RNA
Source: RNAcentral
CAGUCGCCGCGGGAAUACGGAGGAUCCAAGCGUUAUCCGGAAUCAUUGGGUUUAAAGGGUCCGUAGGCGGUCUUGUAAGUCAGUGGUGAAAGCCCAUCGCUCAACGGUGGAACGGCCAUUGAUACUGCAGGACUUGAAUUAUUGGGAAGUAACUAGAAUAUGUAGUGUAGCGGUGAAAUGCUUAGAGAUUACAUGGAAUACCAAUUGCGAAGGCAGGUUACUACCAAUUGAUUGACGCUGAUGGACGAAAGCGUGGGUAGCGAACAGGAUUAGAGACCCCAGUAGUCCCUGUCUCUUAUAC